GACAUUCAUGGAAAAGACUCUGACACUUACUCUGGAUUACAGUUUUCUGAUAAACUUUCAGAUCACAGAACUGGACUGGGACAUUGGUUGUAUUACCAAGGCUUUGACUGGAAUGUCAUAUUUGAGAGAAACGUACAGACUCGGAUAUGACAAUACUGCCUUUGAGGAAUAAGGUUGACUUUCUGGAAAUAAAGCCACUUGGAAACAUGGGCCUGGUACCUUGUGUAUAGAGAUUAUGGCAAUCUUACCCGAAAUACUUCUUAAACACCUGAUUGCUUGCUUCCAAAAUAAAGGCCUAACUUUGGGAGCCCACCUGCGUUGCCACCUUCUAAAAUGAAUUUAACUGGACUGAUCUAUUACCAGGACUAAGAAAUGUGUUCAGUGAGAUGAAACAAUCUACCACUCAGCUUCUGGAUUGUGAAACUUUUAGUUUCAAAGGCGGGACUGCAGGGACCUGAAAUUGGCCACCCCAAGAUAUGUCUCUUUGGCAUCAGGAUUAUUUGAGGCUGAUUGCUUUUGAUAAAGUGGGACAGGGAAGGAGGCUCUGAGGAGUGGAACUUGCCCUUUGUUAGGACACAUUUACAUCUGUAAGGUAAAUCUCUAUCUGUAAAGGUGCCUCCCUCUCUGUAGGCAAGGAACUGAUUGCUGCGCUCAUCUGUGAUCCCCCAGCCCGAGGCAACACACCUGCCACCCCGCAGCGUUCACUGAGACAGCAGACCUAUCUGCCUCCAUCAAGGGCUGUGCUGACAGAGCAGGCUCGUGACUGUUGUAAAAGGGACAUUUCAAUCAUACGUGAAACACCCUGUUUGGGGGAUAUAGAACCACUCUGUGCACCCCACUUCUUCGGUGCCCUUUCUUCCUUCGGGAAGAAAGGCCCCGGGCCAUGGCUCCUCAUAAAGCUUUGUUUAAUUUUCUCUUGCUAUUCUGUCUCAGGUGAAUUUAAUUCGUUCUCCGGCCAGACGAACCCACAUUUGGGAAGAGGAAAUGUCUUCCUCCCCUACAUUAACUAGCCUCACCGUGCUGUACACUAGAUCCUCAGAACUUAUUCAUCUGAAAACUGAAAGUUUGUACCCUUUAAACAUCUCCC
RNAcentral lists this long non-coding RNA (1087 nucleotides) under Equus caballus (horse). RNAcentral's name for it is "lncRNA (ENSECAG00000048958.1)". The record is from RNAcentral. Lineage: Eukaryota; Metazoa; Chordata; Mammalia; Perissodactyla; Equidae.